This 1130-nucleotide long non-coding RNA is filed under the name Gossypium barbadense (sea-island cotton). Its description in RNAcentral is "long non-coding RNA (GBAR_LNC007778)". Lineage: Eukaryota; Viridiplantae; Streptophyta; Magnoliopsida; Malvales; Malvaceae. The record is from RNAcentral.
GAGAUUCGAAGAUUCACGUCUGAAAUUUUCGAAAUAAAGGUUUCCUUUUCGUUUUUUUUUUUUUUGGUUUGCUAAGCUUUCUCUUCGAAUUCAUUCGUCUUUCAAAAUUCCUUCUUGUUUUUAUAAAAUCUACAAAAAGGAAAUAUAGUUUAAAAGAGCUGAAAUCGAAAGCUUUCCGCAUGCAUGUUAUUGAUCCUCCGAAUAAAUUAGGUGAUUUUUUUUUGUAUGUUUGGUUGUAGAGAUAGGAACAAAGGAUAGGAAGUAAAAGAAGAGAACAAAUUGACUUUGUAAUAGCCAAUUUUGGCCCAAAAGAACCCAAACCAAAUAAACAAAAAAAUAGUCCAAUACAUGGCCCAAAAUUAAAACAAAACCUAAUUAAAACCCAAUACCCAAAUUUUAGCCCAAAAUAAACCCAAUAACCUAAAACCCUAAAGCCCAAGUCAGCCCACUAUCUUAAACUUUUUUUCAGCAGCCACCCUACCCCUAGCCACCAAAGUUCAGCCGCCACUCCCCCCUCUGCCCUUGGCCAUCACGCGCGCCACCACCACCGCUUGGGGCACCAACCAUCGGCCUUCUACGCGUCUGACACCUGCAAGACGAAACUAGCACGCGAAACACAAGAAAAGAAGAAGAAAAAGUAGCAGACAAGAAGAAAAAAACAAAAAAUGAAUCUAUGUAAUUCGGUUAUAAAAGUCGAAACAUCCAUUUGUAGUUUUUUUUGGGACACGCACAUUUAAGAAAUAAAAGAACAAAAGCAAGAAAAAGGUUGAUCUUUUUAUUUUCAAAUUUUCGUUUUAUUUUAUUUUAUUUUUGCUUUUGAACACAAAAAGAAAAUGAAGAACCUUACCGGAGAACCCACGGUCACACCGUCGAAAGACUCUUCUCAUUCGUCUAGAUCGGAUCUAAAAGGGAAGGGGAGAAGCCUUUUCUUUCGUUUUUCUUCGGAUUUUGGAGAGCCUUGCUUUGGAUCCGUUUGAAGCAGGCUAAAAGCCCCUUUUUGCGCAUUACCGGCCACCGGAUACGGUGGUGGUGCGGUGGUGCGACGAAGAAACCGAUCGUCGGCAUGGGGAAGAGAGGGGAGAGAUUAAAGGUUCCUUUAGUUUUUUUUAUGAAAAGAGGGCAGAAAUGAG